CUAAGAUAUAGUGAGAUUCAGCAGAGAUUCGACCUAGAGUAUAGAGACACAUGAAAUCUUUUUCCAUAUCAUAUCUGAACACCAAAUCUUUUUGACAGCCCAAAACCACUGGCAUAAGUAAAACUCAUGAGAAGCUUUGGAUCUAUGAAGAAGAGCCAUACACAAUUUCAGAAAGCUCUUAAUUCGAAUUAUCUACACAUGUAUAUAAGGAUGAGCCAUAAAGACAACUCCUUCAGAAGUGUAGAGUUCUCAUCAAGUUUGAAGUCAAAUUCACACUUGAGAUGUGAGUUCAAUAAGCAGACACUACUUACUACAAGUAGGCUCCGCUCACGAAUGCAUCACAAAUCACUAUUUUAUGCACAUUGAUGUAACAGAAACUUGUAUUCAUGUAUUCUUCCAUGGCAUUACACGCUACACAGCCUUGACUUGGUGCAGUUAAUUUGACUAAUA
RNAcentral lists this long non-coding RNA (450 nucleotides) under Nicotiana benthamiana. RNAcentral's name for it is "long non-coding RNA (NBEN_LNC022679)". The record is from RNAcentral. Lineage: Eukaryota; Viridiplantae; Streptophyta; Magnoliopsida; Solanales; Solanaceae.